This 144-nucleotide ribosomal RNA is filed under the name uncultured bacterium. Its description in RNAcentral is "partial 16S rRNA". It matches the Rfam family "Bacterial small subunit ribosomal RNA", at positions 352 to 511 of the family's 1533-position model. The record is from RNAcentral.
GUGGGGUAAUUUUUCCGCAAUGGGCGAAAGCCUGACGGAGCAAUGCCGCGUGGAGGUGGAAGGCCUACGGGUCGUCAACUUCUUUUCUCGGAGAAGAAACAAUGACGGUAUCUGAGGAAUAAGCAUCGGCUAACUCUGUGCUAG